Dreissena polymorpha is the source of this 845-nucleotide long non-coding RNA. RefSeq lists it as uncharacterized. NCBI's taxonomy places the organism in Eukaryota, Metazoa, Mollusca, Bivalvia, Myida, Dreissenidae. The record is from RefSeq and is a predicted model, not a curated record. The transcript is spliced from 3 exons.
AUUAGGAUCGGCCCCGUGCAUGCAGCCUAUUUAGCCUUCAUCUCGUAUGCGUCAUUUCCCAGUGAGCGGGUAUGCCCCUUUAAGGGCCCCUUUCGGACGAACAAGAGUUAUCCCCCGGAAGAGACCUAGUGCACGCUGACCAGCCGUCGACUGCCUGUCGGGCUGACCUAGUUUCGGCCGGGACUUUUAAUUAGGAUCGGAGCCAGGUGCAACCUAUUUAGCCUAUUACGCGACAUUUUUGCCUGUGAGCGGGUAUGCCCCUUUAAGGGCCCCUUUCGGACGAACAAGAGUUAUCCCCCGGAAGAGACCUAGUGCACGCUGACCAGCCGUCGACUGCCUGUCGGGCUGACCUAGUUUCGGCCGGGACUUUUAAUUAGGAUCGGAGCCAGGUGCAACCUAUUUAGCCUAUUACGCGACAUUUUUGCCUGUGAGCGGGUAUGCCCCUUUAAGGGCCCCUUUCGGACGAACAAGAGUUAUCCCCCGGAAGAGACCUAGUGCACGCUGACCAGCCGUCGACUGCCCAUCGGGCUGAACUAGUUUCGGCCGGGACUUUUAAUUAGGAUCGGCCCCGUGCAUGCAGCCUAUUUAGCCUUCAUCUCGUAUGCGUCAUUUCCCAGUGAGCGGGUAUGCCCCUUUAAGGGCCCCUUUCGGACGAACAAGAGUUAUCCCCCGGAAGAGACCUAGUGCACGCUGACCAGCCGUCGACUGCCUGUCGGGCUGACCUAGUUUCGGCCGGGACUUUUAAUUAGGAUCGGAGCCAGGUGCAACAUAUUUAGCCUAUUACGCGACAUUUUUGCCUGUGAGCGGGUAUGCCCCUUUAAGGGCCCCUUUCGGACGAACAAGAG